UACGUAGGGUGCGAGCGUUAAUCGGAAUUACUGGGCGUAAAGGGUGCGCAGGCGGUUAUAUAAGACAGGUGUGAAAGCCCCGAGCUUAACUUGGGAAUUGCGCUUGUGACUGGCGUGCUGGAGUGUGGCAGAGGGAGGUGGAAUUCCACGUGUAGCAGUGAAAUGCGUAGAGAUGUGGAGGAACACCGAUGGCGAAGGCAGCCUCCUGGGCCAGCACUGACGCUCAUGCACGAAAGCGUGGGGAGCAAACAGG
Molecule: ribosomal RNA, 253 nt
Filed under: uncultured bacterium
Lineage: Bacteria
Description: partial 16S ribosomal RNA
Rfam family: Bacterial small subunit ribosomal RNA
Source: RNAcentral